This is a non-coding RNA of Myotis davidii, 75 nucleotides long. The record is from Rfam. Lineage: Eukaryota; Metazoa; Chordata; Mammalia; Chiroptera; Vespertilionidae.
GGUGGUUCUAGGGUGACAUACCCCAGAAUUGGGCUCCCUCCUCUCUGUUUCCGGGUGCAUCACCCCAGAACCACA